GCUUGCUACCUGACCUAGCGGCGGACGGGUGAGUAAUGCUUAGGAAUCUGCCUAUUAGUGGGGGACAACAUUCCGAAAGGAAUGCUAAUACCGCAUACGCCCUACGGGGGAAAGCAGGGGAUCUUCGGACCUUGCGCUAAUAGAUGAGCCUAAGUCAGAUUAGCUAGUUGGUGGGGUAAAGGCCUACCAAGGCGACGAUCUGUAGCGGGUCUGAGAGGAUGAUCCGCCACACUGGGACUGAGACACGGCCCAGACUCCUACGGGAGGCAGCAGUGGGGAAUAUUGGACAAUGGGCGAAAGCCUGAUCCAGCCAUGCCGCGUGUGUGAAGAAGGCCUUUUGGUUGUAAAGCACUUUAAGCGAGGAGGAGGCUACUUGGAUUAAUACUCUAGGAUAGUGGACGUUACUCGCAGAAUAAGCACCGGCUAACUCUGUGCCAGCAGCCGCGGUAAUACAGAGGGUGCGAGCGUUAAUCGGAUUUACUGGGCGUAAAGCGUGCGUAGGCGGCUUUUUAAGUCGGAUGUGAAAUCCCUGAGCUUAACUUAGGAAUUGCAUUCGAUACUGGGAAGCUAGAGUAUGGGAGAGGAUGGUAGAAUUCCAGGUGUAGCGGUGAAAUGCGUAGAGAUCUGGAGGAAUACCGAUGGCGAAGGCAGCCAUCUGGCCUAAUACUGACGCUGAGGUACGAAAGCAUGGGGAGCAAACAGGAUUAGAUACCCUGGUAGUCCAUGCCGUAAACGAUGUCUACUAGCCGUUGGGGCCUUUGAGGCUUUAGUGGCGCAGCUAACGCGAUAAGUAGACCGCCUGGGGAGUACGGUCGCAAGACUAAAACUCAAAUGAAUUGACGGGGGCCCGCACAAGCGGUGGAGCAUGUGGUUUAAUUCGAUGCAACGCGAAGAACCUUACCUGGUCUUGACAUAGUAAGAACUUUCCAGAGAUGGAUUGGUGCCUUCGGGAACUUACAUACAGGUGCUGCAUGGCUGUCGUCAGCUCGUGUCGUGAGAUGUUGGGUUAAGUCCCGCAACGAGCGCAACCCUUUUCCUUAUUUGCCAGCGGGUUAAGCCGGGAACUUUAAGGAUACUGCCAGUGACAAACUGGAGGAAGGCGGGGACGACGUCAAGUCAUCAUGGCCCUUACGACCAGGGCUACACACGUGCUACAAUGGUCGGUACAAAGGGUUGCUACCUAGCGAUAGGAUGCUAAUCUCAAAAAGCCGAUCGUAGUCCGGAUUGGAGUCUGCAACUCGACUCCAUGA
RNAcentral lists this ribosomal RNA (1250 nucleotides) under uncultured Acinetobacter sp. RNAcentral describes it as "bacterial SSU rRNA". It matches the Rfam family "Bacterial small subunit ribosomal RNA", at positions 78 to 1323 of the family's 1533-position model. The record is from RNAcentral. Lineage: Bacteria; Pseudomonadati; Pseudomonadota; Gammaproteobacteria; Moraxellales; Moraxellaceae.